GCCUGUGAUUUCUUCAACUGCAGGCCACCUUUUUUAAAGAAAAGAAGCGUAAUAUUACAGCUUAAUGACCAACCUUUUCCACAUCCAUAUUUGGAGAGCUCGGAGUACAAAAAUCAACCGGCGCUUUUACUUCCGGUAACGCAAACCAGCAAGCUUCUCUGUUUGUAAAACAUGUGACUUCUUCCGGGAUUCAAACAGCACUCCCGUCAAAUGUUGUAUUUGUGGUUAUCUGGAUGUUCCCUACGGAUCUGAGGGUCACUUGUGUUUUCGUUUACUCAAGAGGGUCUUGGAAAUGUAUUAUUGGGUAUGGUUUCAACUCGGUGCGUUCUUGACAACCUGUUUUCUGGAAACUCCCUUUUCCCCUUCUGUGCUCCAUUAUGCCAUUUCCCCCACCAUCAUUUAAAGGCAGAUCUGCCUAAUUGGCAGCUGCCAAAACAAUACGAGAACUGAAAACAGCAGCCAGCCAUUGAUGUUCUCGCUUCUCUGCAUUUUGCAACGCAGUUCCCCAGCCGUGUAAUGCAUACAAAAAUCCGUAGGUGUGCAUAAUACAUACAUUCAUGAAGACAGCAGAUGCAAGUGUACAGUCAUACUUCAGGUUACAGGCGCUUCAGGUUGCGGGUUUUUUGGGUUAUGGACCGCCGAAACCCAGAAGUACUGGAACAGGUUACUUCCAGGUUUCGGCAGUCGCACAUGCACAGAAGUGCUAAAUCGCGCUUUGAGCAUGCACAGAAGCACUGAAUUGCAACCCGCAGACACGCACCUGCGGGUUGCGAACGUGCAACCCAAGCGUCCGCUGUAUUAUAUUAGAGGAAACUGCACGCUGUGGAUGGAGAAGAAAUUCACACUAAAAUUCCGGUUAAUUUCUAUGAGGGCUCUCCCGCCCCCUAGCAAACAGAUGUGGAAAUGGGAAGAGCUGAACUUUGAGACUGGGAAAACGAAGAAACUGAGGGAAAACCCAAACCGACAGAUUCGACUGUUCCUAGACUCAUGACAUGAUCUGCAGGCCCCACCCCAAACCUCCACAUGUAGCAAGACAUCUGAAGUGGGGCACCUGUGCAUCUCACAGAAUGUGCAGGGGUCAGGGGGUGUGACUUCAGGCCUGGGGGCACGGGGCACAGUUCUGCUCCCCACCCCCCAUGCAAGCACUCCAGGAGUGGAAGAGGGUGAGGGAAAGUGCCCUUUGCUGUGUUGUGCAUUUCCAUGCAUAAACACGCACAUGAUUUUGGGAAACGCCAAAUCAGGAUGCAGGGGAUGGGGGAGGUACACCUGUCCUUUUUGCCCAUUUCCUAAAACAUCUGAGUCAGGGGUGGGGAACCUCAGGCCCACGACACCAAAUGGGGCCCUCCAUCCCUCUUUCUGUGCCAUGAAAAGCCUCCCCAGGCAACAACAGCAACACCCUGCCCAUCUGACUGGGUUGCCGCAGUCACUCUGGACAGCUUCCAACAUAUAU
Non-coding RNA from Podarcis lilfordi (Lilford's wall lizard), 1450 nucleotides. Lineage: Eukaryota; Metazoa; Chordata; Lepidosauria; Squamata; Lacertidae. The record is from the annotation of a GenBank genome assembly.